UUGGAAACGAUAGCUAAUACCGCAUAACAAUGGAUGACACAUGUCAUUUAUUUNAAAGGGGCAAUUGCUCCACUACAAGAUGGACCUGCGUUGUAUUAGCUAGUAGGUGAGGUAAUGGCUCACCUAGGCGACGAUACAUAGCCGACCUGAGAGGGUGAUCGGCCACACUGGGACUGAGACACGGCCCAGACUCCUACGGGAGGCAGCAUG
Molecule: ribosomal RNA, 210 nt
Filed under: uncultured bacterium
Lineage: Bacteria
Description: partial 16S ribosomal RNA
Rfam family: Bacterial small subunit ribosomal RNA
Source: RNAcentral